Molecule: non-coding RNA, 875 nt
Organism: Cyanistes caeruleus (blue tit)
Lineage: Eukaryota; Metazoa; Chordata; Aves; Passeriformes; Paridae
Source: RefSeq, a predicted model, not a curated record
UGCCGGGCGGUGCCGGCGCCCGCUCUGGCCGUGGAGUGGUGCUGCCGCUGGGCUGUCUCGCUUGGUUGUGCCUCGGCAGGCGCCUUUCUUUAAUCCCGAUGACAUCAGCAGUUCCUGCGGUUUGCACAUGGGCAGCAAAGGAGUUUUAAGUGACAUAAAAAAAUAAGGGGCAUCAGAGAAUCACUACCGAGGUUUUUGCUUUGCCUGGAGUGGCUGAGGGCUGCCAUCUGUGGGAAGUGUCGUGCGGUAUAUCCAGGAUCUCACCGUGACACAAGAGACCAGGUGGAGGGAUGGGUUGGAGCUCUGAAGAGGAAAGGUGAGCUGGCCCGGAGGGGAAGAAAGUAACAGCAGACAACAAACUGCAGAAAUGGAGAAGAAAAUACUGAAGUUCAAAAGAGGGUGAUAGAAAUUCAUUGAAGUGAAAGUGGAAAGAACCCAAUAAAUUGAAAACAGGCCUUUAAAAGAGGGAAGAAAGGUUUGAAAUGGCAGGUGAGAAGGACUGAAGUAAAUAGGCAGGAAUUAUGACAGCAGGUAUGACAGCUUCAGAGGUGGAGACAGGGAAAUGGGGAAAGAAAAAUCAGAGUAGAGGGUCAAAGAGGUAAUAGCACUGUGAACAGUGAGGUCAGUAACAGGACAGAAAAGAAACGAGCUCCUGGAGGACUGGUAGUGAUAAUUCACAUUAACAAGUCGUGGGGAGUCGUACUGAGAUACAGAGACAGGAGGAGAACUUGGGAAUCUUUAGAGGAAAAAGCAAAAGCAUGCUAAGAUUUUUUUUUGUGUCACUGGCAAGUCCCUUUAUAACCAUGUUUGUACCCUGUCAUCUCAUGAACUGUCAGCCUUUCUUUCAAGCUUGUACAUAAAGACUGCACAUUUGA